CGGUAAUUCCAGCUCCAAUAGCGUAUGUUAAAGUUGUUGCGUUUAAAAAGCUCGUAGUUUGAUAUCUGUCAGUCAAUUCUGAUCCUCUUUCAAGAGGUCGUCGGUUCAGCAUGGCACUAUCGAUGGCCGUUCCAUUGCGCUAAAUUGCGCGAUGUUUCUCUAUCGUCGCGUACUUCGAAGAAAUUAGUUUGUUUCAUAACGGCUGGAGCCAAAGAUAUUUAAGCAUGGUAUAACAUUUCGGAUCUUGAUUCUGUUUUGUUGGCUUGUGAAUCAAAGGUAAUGAUUGAUAGGGAUGGUUGGGGGUUUUCGUAUUUGACAGUCAGAGGUGAAAUUCUUGGAUUUGUCGAAGACGAGCUACUGCGAAAGCAUUUGCCAAAGAUGUUUUCAUUGAUCAAGAGCGAAAGUUGGGGGAUCGAAGACGAUCAGAUACCGUCCUAGUCUUGACCAUAAACUAUGCCAUCCAGGGAUAAAGGGACGUCACGUACGACUUCUUUGGCACCUUGCGAGAAAUCAGAGUCAUUGGGUUCCGGGGGGAGUAUGGUCGCAAGACUGAAACUUAAAGGAAUUGACGGAAGGGCACCACCAGGAGUGGAGCCUGCGGCUUAAUUUGACUCAACACGGGAAAACUCACCAGUUCCAGACAUAGUCAGGAUGGACAGACUGAUCGCUUUUUCUUAAUUUUAUGGGUGGUGGUGCAUGGCCGUUCUUAGUUGGUGGAGCAAUCUGUCUGGUUAAUUCCGUUAACGAACGAGACCUUAACCUACUAAAUAGCUGGGCGUACACAUCUUUACGUUGAUAGCUUCUUAGGGGAACUUUGUCCGCGCAGGGUUGAGAAGAUUGAGGCAAUAACGGGUCUGUGAUGCCCUUAGAUGUACAGGGCUGCACGCGCGCUACACUGGUACACUCAAUGGGCUACCUUCCGAGCUUGUCUAAGCAAGGCGAUCCUGUAAAAGGUACCGUGAUGGGGAUUGAUUUUUGAAAUUAUUAAUCGUUAACGAGGAAUUCCUAGUAAGUACGAGUCAUUACCUCGCACUGAUUGCGUCCCUGCCCUUUGUACACACCGCCCGUCGCUCCUACCGAUUGAAUGGUCCGGUGAAUAAACUGGAUGCUUGCAAUGCUCUAGUUCUGAGCUGUGCUGGCUGAAAGCUUGUAAACCUUAUCACUUAGAGGAAGGAGAAGUCGUAACAAGG
This 1190-nucleotide ribosomal RNA is filed under the name uncultured eukaryote. RNAcentral's name for it is "bacterial SSU rRNA". It matches the Rfam family "Eukaryotic small subunit ribosomal RNA", at positions 577 to 1799 of the family's 1831-position model. The record is from RNAcentral.